Salmo salar (Atlantic salmon) is the source of this 54-nucleotide non-coding RNA. The record is from Rfam. NCBI's taxonomy places the organism in Eukaryota, Metazoa, Chordata, Actinopteri, Salmoniformes, Salmonidae.
AGUGUAAUUGCUUGUAAGUUGCUCUGGAUAAGAGUGUCUGCUAAAUGAUGUAAA